This 607-nucleotide non-coding RNA is filed under the name unclassified sequences. RNAcentral's name for it is "ROOL RNA". It matches the Rfam family "ROOL RNA". From Rfam's summary of the family: Firmicutes, Fusobacteria (1 example), Tenericutes (1 example). Environment (Cow rumen (57)) The record is from Rfam by way of RNAcentral.
AUACUUUACUAUGAUUGCAAUGAACUCAGUGUAGAUCGGUUUUGUCACUGUGCUGAGAAUGCGUGAAUAUCGGCAAAUUAUUAUAUGGGAUACUUUAUAAUGAUUUGCUCCAAACUACCGUGAGGUAUAUUAGGAUAUUAGGAAAAUCCUUAAAGAUAAGCGUAUGUACUGAGAGCAAAUGUAGUUAAAAGCUGCUAUCUUGUCGUUGAUGUAAUAGAGAGUUACACUGUAAUGCUUAACCCUGAUGCCUGUAGACUGGUAAUCUAUAGGAGAUAAGUAGGGGAGUACCAAAAUAAGUCAAUUUGCCGUGAUGAUCUGGAAACGGAUUGUAUAAGACAAGUCAAGUGAUUGAGUAGCCCAAGGCAGUAGAAGAACAAGGUAUAUAAAGAGAACAUCAAAUUAUACAAGUAAGUUUGAGGUUGAUUAAUUCUGAAUGACGGGUGAAAGAUGUUCGUAACCAAUCGAACCGAUACAGAGACAGGUGUAUUCCUGUUGGUGAAAAAGUAUAUGGAUGACGGUUUAUAUGCUCAGAUUUCAUUAUAUUGUGGCUGAAUAUGAGUGCGUUUGUGGAGGCAAUCCGAAGGGAUUAUUGCUAUCAUAAUAAAGU